This 453-nucleotide ribosomal RNA is filed under the name uncultured bacterium. Its description in RNAcentral is "bacterial SSU rRNA". It matches the Rfam family "Bacterial small subunit ribosomal RNA", at positions 335 to 780 of the family's 1533-position model. The record is from RNAcentral.
ACUCCUACGGGAGGCAGCAGUGGGGAAUAUUGCACAAUGGGGGAAACCCUGAUGCAGCCAUGCCGCGUGUGUGAAGAAGGCCUUCGGGUUGUAAAGCACUUUCAGCGAGGAGGAAAGGGUGUGUGCUAAUACCAUACAUCUGUGACGUUACUCGCAGAAGAAGCACCGGCUAACUCUGUGCCAGCAGCCGCGGUAAUACAGAGGGUGCGAGCGUUAAUCGGAUUUACUGGGCGUAAAGCGUGCGUAGGCGGCCAUUUAAGUCAAAUGUGAAAUCCCCGAGCUUAACUUGGGAAUUGCAUUCGAUACUGGAUGGCUAGAGUAUGGGAGAGGAUGGUAGAAUUCCAGGUGUAGCGGUGAAAUGCGUAGAGAUCUGGAGGAAUACCGAUGGCGAAGGCAGCCAUCUGGCCUAAUACUGACGCUGAGGUACGAAAGCAUGGGGAGCAAACAGGAUUA